Molecule: ribosomal RNA, 481 nt
Filed under: Actinomyces sp. oral taxon 448
Lineage: Bacteria; Bacillati; Actinomycetota; Actinomycetes; Actinomycetales; Actinomycetaceae
Description: bacterial SSU rRNA
Rfam family: Bacterial small subunit ribosomal RNA
Source: RNAcentral
GACGAACGCUGGCGGCGUGCUUAACACAUGCAAGUCGAGCGGGCCUGCCUGGCUUUGGUUGGGUGGGUGAGUGGCGAACGGGUGAGUAACACGUGAGUAACCUGCCCUCUUCUCUUGGAUAACUGCUUGAAAGGGCGGCUAAUACGGGAUGUUCUGGCUGCCUCGCAUGGGGUGGUUUGGAAAGAUUCGGCCUGGUUUUGGUUGUUUUGGUGGGGGAUGGACUCGCGGCUUAUCAGCUUGUUGGUGGGGUGAUGGCCUACCAAGGCGGUGACGGGUAGCCGGCCUGAGAGGGUGGACGGUCACACUGGGACUGAGACACGGCCCAGACUCCUGCGGGAGGCAGCAGUGGGGGAUUUUGCACAAUGGGCGCAAGCCUGAUGCAGCGACGCCGCGUGAGGGAUGGAGGCCUUCGGGUUGUGAACCUCUGUCGCCGGUGAUGUAGGCUCUGCUUUGUGGGUGGGGUGACGGAGCCGGGUAUAAG